GACUACCAGGGUAUCUAAUCCUGUUCGCUCCCCACGCUUUCGUGCAUCAGCGUCAGUUAUGGCUCAGUAAGCUGCCUUCGCAAUCGGUGUUCUGUGUAAUAUCUAAGCAUUUCACCGCUACAUUACACAUUCCGCCUACCUUAACCAUACUCAAGACUGACAGUAUCAAUGGCAAGUCUCCAGUUAAGCUGAAGGUUUUCACCACUGACUUAUUAGUCCGCCUACGCACCCUUUAAACCCAAUAAAUCCGGAUAACGCUUGCAUCCUCCGUAUUACCGCGGCUGCUGGCACGGAGUUAGCCGAUGCUUAUUCCCGGAGUACCUUCAGUCCCGUACACGUACGAGAUUUUAUUCCUCCGGAAAAGAAGUUUACAACGCAUAGCGCCUUCUUCCUGCACGCGGGAUGGCUGGUUCAGGCUUGCGCCCAUUGACCAAUAUUCCUCACUGCAGCCCCCCGUAGG
This 460-nucleotide ribosomal RNA is filed under the name uncultured Bacteroidota bacterium. RNAcentral describes it as "uncultured Bacteroidetes bacterium partial 16S ribosomal RNA". Lineage: Bacteria; Pseudomonadati; Bacteroidota. The record is from RNAcentral.